CUUGAACUCCUUUUACUAUACAACGCACGCAGAGUACAGUACAGCUAGCUAGCAUCUGUUGAUCUCGUGUGCAAGUCAACGUGUUUGUGCAGUCUACAAGGCUAGGCCUGUCAUUUAGCUGGACUAUAAAUGAUUUACUGGACCUGAUAUCAAAGUUAACUGUGGAAUAGAGGGAAGUGAAUAUUCGUCUGAUCGCCGUGAUAGGACACACUGCGGCUACUGUGUGGCUUGGGAGUUGCCAAUCGAGGGAGGUACCAGGUGAUGAAAGGAGCAAGAAGGAAGCAAGCUGGAGUUUCAAGUAUUUGUCUCGGUUUCUGUCAGAGGACGACUCCAGGACAUGUCUGGGUCGCUGACGGGACGCAGAAGUCAAAGGUCGUCCAUCCACUCUAGUCUACUUCGCAGCAAUUCGUUUGCAGGUUUUCGCGAUGAUAUUCCAUCGGAUCCAUUCAUGGCGGUAAGUUUUUAUCAAUCACUUUAUUACUUAAAGACAAGUAGACUGCAUGAACAUUAAUGUAGCUUAAAGUAUAACAAUCAACCGAAAAAUUU
Long non-coding RNA from Strongylocentrotus purpuratus (purple sea urchin), 546 nucleotides. RefSeq lists it as uncharacterized. The transcript has 3 exons. Lineage: Eukaryota; Metazoa; Echinodermata; Echinoidea; Camarodonta; Strongylocentrotidae. The record is from RefSeq and is a predicted model, not a curated record.